UGAUCACAUUUCCCUGUUUCCUUUGCAGAAGGUGCCCAGACGACCCCUGUGUCAUUAAAGCUGCCAAGCAAUGUAGUGGAGGGAUCGGCCCGGGCCUCCUUCUGCGUGCUGAGUGACAUUUUGGGGAAUGCGAUCCAGAAUCUGCACCAGCUUCUCCGGAUGCCCUACGGAUGCGGGGAGCAAAACAUGGCCCUUUUCGCCCCCAACAUCUACAUCGUAGACUACCUGAAUCACACCGGGCAGCUGACGGAAGCUGUGAAAUCCAAGGCCAUCGGCUACCUUGUGGCUGGCUAUCAGAGGCAGCUGAACUA
This is a non-coding RNA of Pogona vitticeps (central bearded dragon), 311 nucleotides long. The record is from RefSeq and is a predicted model, not a curated record. Lineage: Eukaryota; Metazoa; Chordata; Lepidosauria; Squamata; Agamidae.